GACGAACGCUGGCGGCGUGCUUAACACAUGCAAGUCGAACGGAAAGGCCCUGCUUUUGUGGGGUGCUCGAGUGGCGAACGGGUGAGUAACACGUGAGUAACCUGCCCUUGACUUUGGGAUAACUUCAGGAAACUGGGGCUAAUACCGGAUAGGAGCUCCUGCUGCAUGGUGGGGGUUGGAAAGUUUCGGCGGUUGGGGAUGGACUCGCGGCUUAUCAGCUUGUUGGUGGGGUAGUGGCUUACCAAGGCUUUGACGGGUAGCCGGCCUGAGAGGGGGACCGGCCACAUUGGGACUGAGAUACGGCCCAGACUCCUACGGGAGGCAGCAGUGGGGAAUAUUGCACAAUGGGCGGAAGCCUGAUGCAGCAACGCCGCGUGCGGGAUGACGGCCUUCGGGUUGUAAACCGCUUUCGCCUGUGACGAAGCGUGAGUGACGGUAAUGGGUAAGGAAGCACCGGCUAACUACGUG
This 468-nucleotide ribosomal RNA is filed under the name uncultured bacterium. RNAcentral's name for it is "partial 16S ribosomal RNA". It matches the Rfam family "Bacterial small subunit ribosomal RNA", at positions 28 to 507 of the family's 1533-position model. The record is from RNAcentral.